GUGCUCGCUUUGGCAGCACAUAUAUUAAAAUUAGAACAAUCCAGAGAAGAUUAGCAUGGCCCCAAAUAAGAAAUGAGUAUGAAGUUCUGCAGAGCACUUUG
Molecule: small nuclear RNA, 101 nt
Filed under: Neogale vison (American mink)
Lineage: Eukaryota; Metazoa; Chordata; Mammalia; Carnivora; Mustelidae
Source: RNAcentral